RNAcentral lists this non-coding RNA (31 nucleotides) under Rattus norvegicus (Norway rat). The record is from RNAcentral. Lineage: Eukaryota; Metazoa; Chordata; Mammalia; Rodentia; Muridae.
CCCAAGGAAACAGAAACCACAAGUUUUAUGC